This 700-nucleotide ribosomal RNA is filed under the name uncultured beta proteobacterium. RNAcentral's name for it is "bacterial SSU rRNA". It matches the Rfam family "Bacterial small subunit ribosomal RNA", at positions 68 to 766 of the family's 1533-position model. Lineage: Bacteria; Pseudomonadati; Pseudomonadota; Betaproteobacteria. The record is from RNAcentral.
GUAGAGGGGGCAACCCCUCGAGAGUGGCGAACGGGUGAGUAAUAUAUCGGAACGUGCCCAGUCGUGGGGGAUAACGUAGCGAAAGUUACGCUAAUACCGCAUACGAUCUACGGAUGAAAGCGGGGGACUCGCAAGAGCCUCGCGCGAUUGGAGCGGCCGAUAUCAGAUUAGGUAGUUGGUGGGGUAAAGGCUCACCAAGCCAACGGUCUGUAGCUGGUCUGAGAGGACGACCAGCCACACUGGAACUGAGACACGGUCCAGACUCCUACGGGAGGCAGCAGUGGGGAAUUUUGGACAAUGGACGCAAGUCUGAUCCAGCCAUUCCGCGUGCAGGAUGAAGGCCCUCGGGUUGUAAACUGCUUUUGUACGGAACGAAAAGGUCUCUAUUAAUACUGGGGGCUCAUGACGGUACCGUAAGAAUGAGCACUGGCUAACUACGUGCCAGCAGCCGCGGUAAUACGUAGGGUGCAAGCGUUAAUCGGAAUUACUGGGCGUAAAGCGUGCGCAGGCGGUUAUGUAAGACAGAGGUGAAAUCCCCGGGCUCAACCUGGGAACUGCCUUUGUGACUGCAUAGCUAGAGUACGGUAGGGGGGGAUGGAAUUCCGCGUGUAGCAGUGAAAUGCGUAGAUAUGCGGAGGAACACCGAUGGCGAAGGCAAUCCCCUGGACCUGUACUGACGCUCAUGCACGAAAGCGUGGGG